RNAcentral lists this transfer RNA (88 nucleotides) under Lachnospiraceae bacterium KM106-2. RNAcentral's name for it is "tRNA-Leu". It matches the Rfam family "tRNA". Rfam says of the family: Transfer RNA (tRNA) molecules are approximately 80 nucleotides in length. The record is from RNAcentral. Lineage: Bacteria; Bacillati; Bacillota; Clostridia; Lachnospirales; Lachnospiraceae.
GCAGUUGUGGCGGAAUUGGCAUACGCGCUAGACUAAGGAUCUAGUCUGGGAUAACUGGGUACGGGUUCAAGUCCCGUCAACUGCACUA